ACGCUGGCGGCGUGCUUACACAUGCAAGUCGAACGAGAAAGUUCUUCGGAACGAGUAUAGUGGCGAACGGGUGAGUAACGCGUAAGUAUUUACCCUUUAGUGAAGAAUACCCUCGAGAAAUCGAGGUUAAUACUGCAUACGUCCCUUCGGGGAGAAAGGUGGCCUCUUGCUACCGCUAAAGGAUGAGCUUGCGUACUAUUAGCUUGUUGGUGAGGUAAAGGCUCACCAAGGCUAUGAUGGUUAGCCGGCCUGAGAGGGUGACCGGCCACAUUGGGACUGAGAUACGGCCCAGACUCCUACGGGAGGCAGCAGUGGGGAAUCUUGCACAAUGGGCGAAAGCCUGAUGCAGCGACGCCGCGUGGAGGAUGACGGUCUUCGGAUUGUAAACUCCUGUUAAGAGGGAAGAAAGGCGCGUGGUUAAUAUCCGCGCGAGAUGACGGUACCUCUAGAGAAAGCUCCGGCUAACUUCGUGCCAGCAGCCGCGGUAAUACGAAGGGAGCGAGCGUUAUUCGGAAUUACUGGGCGUAAAGUGCGCGUAGGCGGCCUGUUAAGUCAGUUGUUAAAGACCAUGGCUUACCCAUGGAAAAGCAGUUGAUACUGGCGGGCUGAGAGGGCAAGAGAGAGAAGUGGAAUUCUCGGAGUAGCGGUAAAAUGCGUAGAUCUCGAGAGGAACACCGAUGGCGAAGGCAGCUUCUUGGCUUGUACCUGACGCUGAGGCGCGAAAGCGUGGGGAGCAAACAGGAUUAGAUACCCUGGUAGUCCACGCCGUAAACGAUGAUCACUAGAUGUUGGUUUCGCAUAGCGAGAUCAGUGUCAAAGCUAACGCGUUAAGU
RNAcentral lists this ribosomal RNA (833 nucleotides) under uncultured bacterium. Its description in RNAcentral is "bacterial SSU rRNA". It matches the Rfam family "Bacterial small subunit ribosomal RNA", at positions 33 to 865 of the family's 1533-position model. The record is from RNAcentral.